AAACCAUGCAUCGGGAACUUUUGCAUCAAAUACUUGAAACUCUCCCAAGCUUCAUAGAGGUUUUCAUUCUCCAAUUGCUUGAAUGAUGUGAGAUCGUUCCUCUGCUU
Small nucleolar RNA from Hibiscus syriacus, 107 nucleotides. Lineage: Eukaryota; Viridiplantae; Streptophyta; Magnoliopsida; Malvales; Malvaceae. The record is from RefSeq and is a predicted model, not a curated record.